UACGAAGGGGGCUAGCGUUGCUCGGAAUCACUGGGCGUAAAGGGUGCGUAGGCGGGUCUUUAAGUCAGGGGUGAAAUCCUGGAGCUCAACUCCAGAACUGCCUUUGAUACUGAGGAUCUUGAGUUCGGGAGAGGUAAGUGGAACUGCGAGUGUAGAGGUGAAAUUCGUAGAUAUUCGCAAGAACACCAGUGGCGAAGGCGGCUCACUGGCCCGAUACUGACGCUGAGGCACGAAAGCGUGGGGAGCAAACAGG
Molecule: ribosomal RNA, 253 nt
Filed under: uncultured bacterium
Lineage: Bacteria
Description: partial 16S ribosomal RNA
Rfam family: Bacterial small subunit ribosomal RNA
Source: RNAcentral